AUGUCUGACAUUGCUAUGUUAGUUGCUGAGGAGUAUGAGAGAAGGGUCAAGAAUUUGAAAACCAGUGCUGCUGCUUCUAAUGGUGGUGCUGUAAAAACAUGGGAGAUUGACAUGUCUUGUUUUUCGCUAUUGGUUUCCAAGUUGAAGGAGGAGAAGAAGCAACUUGUUCAGUGUGUGUUGGAGCCUAAAACACAGUUUGCUGUUGCUGCUUCUAACAGCUUCUUUUCUGCUUGA
Vicia faba (fava bean) is the source of this 234-nucleotide non-coding RNA. NCBI's taxonomy places the organism in Eukaryota, Viridiplantae, Streptophyta, Magnoliopsida, Fabales, Fabaceae. The record is from the annotation of a GenBank genome assembly.